RNAcentral lists this ribosomal RNA (250 nucleotides) under uncultured bacterium. Its description in RNAcentral is "partial 16S ribosomal RNA". It matches the Rfam family "Bacterial small subunit ribosomal RNA", at positions 524 to 773 of the family's 1533-position model. The record is from RNAcentral.
UACAGAGGGUGCGAGCGUUAAUCGGAUUUACUGGGCGUAAAGCGUGCGUAGGCGGCUUAAUAAGUCGGAUGUGAAAUCCCCGAGCUUAACUUGGGAAUUGCAUACGAUACUGUUAAGCUAGAGUAUGGGAGAGGAUGGUAGAAUUCCAGGUGUAGCGGUGAAAUGCGUAGAGAUCUGGAGGAAUACCGAUGGCGAAGGCAGCCAUCUGGCCUAAUACUGACGCUGAGGUACGAAAGCAUGGGGAGCAAAC